AGUCUGACGGAGCAACGCCGCGUGAGUGAUGAAGGUUUUCGGAUCGUAAAACUCUGUUGUUAGGGAAGAACAAGUACGAGAGUAACUGCUCGUACCUUGACGGUACCUAACCAGAAAGCCACGGCUAACUACGUGCCAGCAGCCGCGGUAAUACGUAGGUGGCAAGCGUUGUCCGGAAUUAUUGGGCGUAAAGCGCGCGCAGGCGGUCCUUUAAGUCUGAUGUGAAAGCCCACGGCUCAACCGUGGAGGGUCAUUGGAAACUGGGGGACUUGAGUGCAGAAGAGAAGAGUGGAAUUCCACGUGUAGCGGUGAAAUGCGUAGAGAUGUGGAGGAACACCAGUGGCGAAGGCGACUCUUUGGUCUGUAACUGACGCUGAGGCGCGAAAGCGUGGGGAGCAAACAGGAUUAGAUACCCUGGUAGUCCACGCCGUAAACGAUGAGUGCUAAGUGUUAGAGGGUUUCCGCCCUUUAGUGCUGCAGCAAACGCAUUAAGCACUCCGCCUGGGGAGUACGGC
This 515-nucleotide ribosomal RNA is filed under the name Niallia nealsonii. RNAcentral describes it as "bacterial SSU rRNA". It matches the Rfam family "Bacterial small subunit ribosomal RNA", at positions 380 to 886 of the family's 1533-position model. Lineage: Bacteria; Bacillati; Bacillota; Bacilli; Caryophanales; Bacillaceae. The record is from RNAcentral.